GACGAACGCUGGCGGCGUGCUUAACACAUGCAAGUCGAACGGAAAGGCCCUGCUUUUGUGGGUUGCUCGAGUGGCGAACGGGUGAGUAACACGUGAGUAUCCUGCCCUUGACUUUGGGAUAACUUCAGGAAACUGGGGCUAAUACCGGAUAGGAGCUCCUGCUGCAUGGUGGGGGUUGGAAAGUUUCGGCGGUUGGGGAUGGACUCGCGGCUUAUCAGCUUGUUGGUGGGGUAGUGGCUUACCAAGGCUUUGACGGGUAGCCGGCCUGAGAGGGUGACCGGCCACAUUGGGACUGAGAUACGGCGCAGACGCCUACGGGAGGCAGCAGUGGGGAAUAUUGCACAAUGGGCGGAAGCCUGAUGCAGCAACGCCGCGUGCGGGAUGACGGCCUUCGGGUUGUAAACCGCUUUCGCCUGUGACGAAGCGUGAGUGACGGUAAUGGGUAAAGAAGCACCGGCUAACUACGUG
Molecule: ribosomal RNA, 468 nt
Filed under: uncultured bacterium
Lineage: Bacteria
Description: partial 16S ribosomal RNA
Rfam family: Bacterial small subunit ribosomal RNA
Source: RNAcentral